This 305-nucleotide ribosomal RNA is filed under the name uncultured bacterium. RNAcentral's name for it is "bacterial SSU rRNA". It matches the Rfam family "Bacterial small subunit ribosomal RNA", at positions 333 to 636 of the family's 1533-position model. The record is from RNAcentral.
ACUGUCCUACGGGGCGCAGCAGUGAGGAAUAUUGGUCAAUGGCCGGAAGGCUGAACCUGCCAAGCCGCGUGAAGGACGAAGGUGCCAAGCAUUGUAAACUUCUUUUGUCAAGGGACAAAAUCAGGCUCGAGAGCCUGACCGAGGGUACUUGGAGAAAAAGCAUCGGCUAACUCCGUGCCAGCAGCCGCGGUAAUACGGAGGAUACGAGCGUUAUCCGGAUUUAUUGGGUUUAAAGGGUGCGUAGGCGGGCUGUUAAGUCAGCGGUGAAAGCCCGGGGCUCAACCCCGGCGAGCCGUUGAAACUGG